RNAcentral lists this long non-coding RNA (1979 nucleotides) under Oncorhynchus mykiss (rainbow trout). RNAcentral describes it as "lncRNA (ENSOMYG00000064108.1)". The record is from RNAcentral. Lineage: Eukaryota; Metazoa; Chordata; Actinopteri; Salmoniformes; Salmonidae.
UACUACCUAAAACCACUGAGCUCUCAGGAUCCAUGCUGGAGGAUAUUGACACGAUCCGUUGUAGGAGUGCUGACAGCCAAAUACAAGAAAAUACCUCUUCUUCACGCUCCUCCAUCUCUCUAACACCUACUUCAAAAUUAAGGCAGUCGAAAUGGCACUUUGCUUUACCCGGGACUCCCAUCCCCACUGAGUUUCCUGCUCAGAUUGACUUUCCCAUUGUUAGAAACACAAUCAUUGAGGACUUCUUUCACACAGAGGACUUACUUCCUGUAACCUUUGUGGACAAAGUCAGGCAAGCUGCUGGGGUGGUAGUGGACAUUAUGGUGGAAAGUGUUGAGAACACACAGGAAGAUGGACAGGGUGCUUCUCAUCCUGACGACCUCCGAUCUGCUGUUAGAAAUUGAGAAAAAUCAUUUCCACUUGGACCAUCCACAUUUUCAGCCAUGAAUUGGUGGAUAAAGUGAUAGCCAUUCAGGACAGCCACAGCACUCCACAGGUCUUAACAUUGGAAGCAGCCAAAAGUGCUUCAGACUCCAUUCUUUCAAGGCUGAAAUGGGGAAAGGAACAAUGUGCCAUAUCCAAGGAGCUCUCCUCUCAGCUUCUCCAGAUAUUUGCUGAAGAGACAGUGAAGGGCUUCCUGAGACAGUGGUCAGAUGAGUAUGAAACCAUAAACUUUGAUGUUUCAGUCCAGAACGAUCCAAAGACUUCUACUUGCAUGGUCAUUCUUCAAAUGAUCACCAAAGCCACUGCUAAAUGUUAUUUUGAGUCCGCUACCAGCGUGGCCACCAGUGACAUUGUAGAAGGCGUGUUUGAUUUGGAAAGGGAUACCAUCAGCAGUACUGGAGAGCAGGUCCUCACCUUCAAUACAAAGGGUUCCAAGAAAGUUAGAAAGGACCACUGUCCUCAAGAGUCUCUGGAGUACCAGCCUCAGAACAUUUCCCCUACUGUGUACUUUACAGAGACGAUGACAACAUCUCAUGGCUCCUUUUCUCCAGAGGGAAUUUAUGAUAUCGCAUCGUCCUUCCCACUUGAAGAGAAGAGUCGCAAACCCUCCCUUUUCACCAGAUUGUCUAGAUCCAUCACGAAAGGCUUUCUCAGCCCAUUCAAAUCUUCAAGGAAAACCAAAUUAUUUAAAUAAAUUCCUCAUUAUAACAACGAGAGCAUUCAUUUGUUCAGAUGAGAAUCUAAUCGUAUUGGUCACAUACGCCGAAAACAACUGUGAGAUGCUUUAUUACGAGCCCAUUCCCAACAAUGCAGAGUUAAAAAGUAAGAAAAUAUUUUCUAAAUAGUAACACAAUAACAAUAACAAGGCUAUAUACAAGGAGUACCAGUACCGAGUCAAUGUGCAUGGGUGCGAGGUAGUUGAGGUAAUACAGUAUGUACAUGUAGGUAAGGGUAAAAGUGACUAGGCAAUCAGGAUAGAUAAUAAACACAGUAGCAGCAGCUAGUGUGAAAGUCGGACAGUGAAUGUGUGGGUAGAGUGUAGUGAGUGUGCAUCGAGCCAAUUCAAGAGAGUCAGUGGAAAACAAUUAGAAAAAUACAUCAAUAACCAAGGGGGUCAAUGCAAAUAGUGCAGGUGGCCAUUUAAUUAACGUUCAGCAGUCUAAUGACUUGGGGGUAGAAGCUGUUCAGCAGUCUAAUGGCUUGGGGGUAGAAGCUGUUCAGCAGUCUUAUGGCUUGGGGGUAGAAGCUGUUCAGCAGUCUAAUGGCUUGGGGUAGAAGCUGUUCAGCAGUCUAAUGACUUGGGGGUAGAAGCUGUUCAGCAGUCUAAUGACUUGGGGGUAGAAGCUGUUCAGCAGUCUAAUGACUUGGGGGUAGAAGCUGUUCAGCAGUCUAAUGACUUGGGGGUAGAAGCUGUUCAGCAGUCUAAUGACUUGGGGGUAGAAGCUGUUCAGCAGUCUAAUGACUUUGGGGUAGAAGCUGUUCAGCAGUCUAAUGACUUUGGGGUAGAAGCUGUUCAGCAGUCUAAUGACUUGGGG